AAGAAACUAAGGGGAGGGAAUAAGAUGAAAUGUAUAGACACUUAUAAAGAGCUGUUCGUGAACAAAUUUUGUUCCUAAACACAGAAUUGAAAUGCCAAGGCCAGUCACCACCAGCACACGGCCAAAUUAAAUGCGAAGACGUCCCCAACAGUCAGGACGUUUAUUGUAGCAUGUCAUGUGACCCGGGAUAUGACGUUGAAUUCCUUGCUGCUGAGCGUUACGUGUGUCAUGAUGACGGCACUUGGACCGCUGAACCACCGUCCGUGGGCACACAGUGGCCAAACUGUAGACAUUACGCCCGAGGAGAACCUGUACCGUGAAUAAACCAUAGCACGUGACUCGACGUAUGAUGGUCCAGCAUCAUCAAUACAACUAAACUUUAGAUGACAACUUUCAAUACGAAGAAAGAAACGCUUUAGUGAUGUAAUGUUGUAAACGAAUGAAUGGAUAACUAGUAAACACGUGAGGCAUGGGGAUAACUAACUUGAAUUGUUGAUUGUUUUCAGAAGUAUCCGAAAUAAACUAGACGAUCCGUGCUAUCAUAAAAA
This is a long non-coding RNA of Orbicella faveolata, 548 nucleotides long. The record is from RefSeq and is a predicted model, not a curated record. Lineage: Eukaryota; Metazoa; Cnidaria; Anthozoa; Scleractinia; Merulinidae.